This 253-nucleotide ribosomal RNA is filed under the name uncultured bacterium. RNAcentral describes it as "partial 16S ribosomal RNA". It matches the Rfam family "Bacterial small subunit ribosomal RNA", at positions 524 to 776 of the family's 1533-position model. The record is from RNAcentral.
UACGAAGGGGGCUAGCGUUGCUCGGAAUCACUGGGCGUAAAGGGUGCGUAGGCGGGUCUUUAAGUCAGGGGUGAAAGCCUGUGGCUCAACCACAGAAUUGCCUUCGAUACUGUUUGGCUUGAGUAUGGUAGAGGUCAGUGGAACUGCGAGUGUAGAGGUGAAAUUCGUAGAUAUUCGCAAGAACACCAGUGGCGAAGGCGAGUUUCUGGACGGGUACUGACGCUGAGGCACGAAGGCCAGGGGAGCAAACGGG